RNAcentral lists this ribosomal RNA (24 nucleotides) under Cytospora sp. 42 NA1. RNAcentral describes it as "partial 18S ribosomal RNA". Lineage: Eukaryota; Fungi; Ascomycota; Sordariomycetes; Diaporthales; Cytosporaceae. The record is from RNAcentral.
GGGGGGCCUGCGGAGGGAUCAUUG